This 301-nucleotide ribosomal RNA is filed under the name uncultured bacterium. RNAcentral's name for it is "partial 16S ribosomal RNA". It matches the Rfam family "Bacterial small subunit ribosomal RNA", at positions 509 to 808 of the family's 1533-position model. The record is from RNAcentral.
CAGUAGCCACGGUAAUACGUAGGUCCCGAGCGUUGUCCGGAUUUAUUGGGCGUAAAGCGAGCGCAGGCGGUUAGAUAAGUCUGAAGUUUAAGGCUGUGGCUUAACCAUAGUACGCUUUGGAAACUGUUUAACUUGAGUGCAGAAGGGGAGAGUGGAAUUCCAUGUGUAGCGGUGAAAUGCGUAGAUAUAUGGAGGAACACCGGUGGCGAAAGCGGCUCUCUGGUCUGUAACUGACGCUGAGGCUCGAAAGCGUGGGGAGCAAACAGGAUUAGAUACCCCAGUAGUCCCUGUCUCUUAUACA